GCGGUUUGGCCACAAAUAUUUAUUUAUAGAUAUUUUAAAAAUAUUUUAAUUUUUUUCAACUUUAAUUUCAAUUUUUUUUAUUAUAUAUAACCUUAAUUUUUUUAAUAUUACAUAAAAGAUCCUUAAAUAGUUUAGAUGAGUUUUGGAGCAAAUCGAAAAAGAAAGAUAUUUUUGAUAAACAACAAAUCAAGUUUGAACACAAUUUUAAAAAAUAUUUCUUCUCGGUAAAAGAUAUUUUUA
RNAcentral lists this long non-coding RNA (240 nucleotides) under Capsicum annuum. RNAcentral's name for it is "long non-coding RNA (CANN_LNC019691)". The record is from RNAcentral. Lineage: Eukaryota; Viridiplantae; Streptophyta; Magnoliopsida; Solanales; Solanaceae.